Molecule: ribosomal RNA, 497 nt
Filed under: uncultured bacterium
Lineage: Bacteria
Description: partial 16S ribosomal RNA
Rfam family: Bacterial small subunit ribosomal RNA
Source: RNAcentral
GAUGAACGCUGGCGGCGUGCCUAAUACAUGCAAGUCGAGCGAACAGACGAGGAGCUUGCUCCUCUGACGUUAGCGGCGGACGGGUGAGUAAAACGUGGAUAACCUACCUAUAAGACUGGGAUAACUUCGGGAAACCGGAGCUAAUACCGGAUAAUAUAUUGAACCGCAUGGUUCAAUAGUUAAAGAAGGUUUUGCUGUAACUUAUAGAUGGAUCCGCGCCGCAUUAGCUAGUUGGUAAGGUAACGGCUUACCAAGGCAACGAUGCUUAGCCGACCUGAGAGGGUGAUCGGCCACACUGGAACUGAGACACGGUCCAGACUCCUACGGGAGGCAGCAGUAGGGGAUCUUCCGCAAUGGGCGAAAGCUUGACGGAGCAACGCCGCGUGAGUGAUGAAGGUCUUCGGAUCGUAAAACUCUGUUAUUAGGGAAGAACAAAUGUGUAAGUAACUAUGCACGUCUUGACGGUACCUAAUCAGAAAGCCACGGCUAACUACGUG